Molecule: ribosomal RNA, 496 nt
Filed under: uncultured bacterium
Lineage: Bacteria
Description: partial 16S ribosomal RNA
Rfam family: Bacterial small subunit ribosomal RNA
Source: RNAcentral
GAUGAACGCUGGCGCGUGCCUAAUACAUGCAAGUCGAGCGAACAGACGAGGAGCUUGCUCCUCUGACGUUAGCGGCGGACGGGUGAGUAACACGUGGAUAACCUACCUAUAAGACUGGGAUAACUUCGGGAAACCGGAGCUAAUACCGGAUAAUAUAUUGAACCGCAUGGUUCAAUAGUGAAAGACGGUUUUGCUGUCACUUAUAGAUGGAUCCGCGCCGCAUUAGCUAGUUGGUAAGGUAACGGCUUACCAAGGCAACGAUGCGUAGCCGACCUGAGAGGGUGAUCGGCCACACUGGAACUGAGACACGGUCCAGACUCCUACGGGAGGCAGCAGUAGGGAAUCUUCCGCAAUGGGCGAAAGCCUGACGGAGCAACGCCGCGUGAGUGAUGAAGGUCUUCGGAUCGUAAAACUCUGUUAUUAGGGAAGAACAAAUGUGUAAGUAACUAUGCACGUCUUGACGGUACCUAAUCAGAAAGCCACGGCUAACUACGUG